GACGAACGCUGGCGGCGUGCUUAACACAUGCAAGUCGAGGGGAAACGGCAUUUAGUGCUUGCACCGAAUGGACGUCGACCGGCGCACGGGUGAGUAACGCGUAUCCAACCUUCCCAUUACUGUGGGAUAACCUGCCGAAAGGCAGACUAAUACCGCAUAGUCUUCGUUGACGGCAUCAGAUAUGAAGUAAAGAUUUAUCGGUAAUGGAUGGGGAUGCGUCUGAUUAGCUUGUUGGCGGGGUAACGGCCCACCAAGGCGACGAUCAGUAGGGGUUCUGAGAGGAAGGUCCCCCACAUUGGAACUGAGACACGGUCCAAACUCCUACGGGAGGCAGCAGUGAGGAAUAUUGGUCAAUGGACGGAAGUCUGAACCAGCCAAGUAGCGUGCAGGAUGACGGCCCUAUGGGUUGUAAACUGCUUUUGUAUGGGGAUAAAGUUAGGGACGUGUCCCUAUUUGCAGGUACCAUACGAAUAAGGACCGGCUAAUUCCGUGCCAGCAGCCGCGGUAAUACGGAAGGUCCAGGCGUUAUCCGGAUUUAUUGGGUUUAAAGGGAGCGUAGGCUGGAGAUUAAGUGUGUUGUGAAAUGUAGACGCUCAACGUCUGAAUUGCAGCGCAUACUGGUUUCCUUGAGUACGCACAACGUUGGCGGAAUUCGUCGUGUAGCGGUGAAAUGCUUAGAUAUGACGAAGAACUCCGAUUGCGAAGGCAGCUGACGGGAGCGCAACUGACGCUUAAGCUCGAAGGUGCGGGUAUCGAACAGG
This 761-nucleotide ribosomal RNA is filed under the name Prevotella melaninogenica. RNAcentral's name for it is "bacterial SSU rRNA". It matches the Rfam family "Bacterial small subunit ribosomal RNA", at positions 28 to 776 of the family's 1533-position model. The record is from RNAcentral. Lineage: Bacteria; Pseudomonadati; Bacteroidota; Bacteroidia; Bacteroidales; Prevotellaceae.